This 500-nucleotide ribosomal RNA is filed under the name uncultured bacterium. RNAcentral's name for it is "partial 16S ribosomal RNA". It matches the Rfam family "Bacterial small subunit ribosomal RNA", at positions 30 to 523 of the family's 1533-position model. The record is from RNAcentral.
AUUGAACGCUGGCGGAAUGCUUUACACAUGCAAGUCGAGCGGCAGCACGGACUUCGGUCUGGUGGCGAGUGGCGAACGGGUGAGUAAUGUAUCGGAACGUGCCCAGUCGUGGGGGAUAACGUAGUGAAAAUUACGCUAAUACCGCAUACGAUCUAUGGAUGAAAGCGGGGGAUCGCAAGACCUCGCGCGAUUGGAGCGGCCGAUAUCGGAUUAGGUAGUUGGUGGGGUAAAGGCCCACCAAGCCAACGAUCUGUAGCUGGUCUGAGAGGACGACCAGCCACACUGGAACUGAGACACGGUCCAGACUCCUACGGGAGGCAGCAGUGGGGAAUUUUGGACAAUGGGCGAAAGCCUGAUCCAGCCAUUCCGCGUGCAGGAUGAAGGCCCUCGGGUUGUAAACUGCUUUUGUACAGAACGAAAAGGUUUCUACUAAUACUAGGAGCUCAUGACGGUACUGUAAGAAUAAGCACCGGCUAACUACGUGCCAGCGGCCGCAGUAA